RNAcentral lists this ribosomal RNA (407 nucleotides) under uncultured bacterium. RNAcentral's name for it is "bacterial SSU rRNA". It matches the Rfam family "Bacterial small subunit ribosomal RNA", at positions 355 to 779 of the family's 1533-position model. The record is from RNAcentral.
UGGGGAAUCUUGCACAAUGGAGGAAACUCUGAUGCAGCGACGCCGCGUGAGCGAAGAAGCCUUUCGGGGUGUAAAGCUCUUACGCCAGGGACGAUAAUGACGGUACCUGGAGAAGCAGCUGCGGCUAACUACGUGCCAGCAGCCGCGGUAAUAUGUAGGCAGCAAGCGUUGUUCGGAAUUACUGGGCGUAAAGGGUGCGUAGGCGGUUGCCUAAGUUUGGUGUGAAAUCUCCCGGCUUAACUGGGAGGGUGCGCUGAAGACUGGGCGACUUGAGUAUGGGAGAGGAAAGCGGAAUUCCUGGUGUAGCGGUGAAAUGCGUAGAGAUCAGGAGGAACACCUGCGGUGUAGACGGCUUUCUGGACCAAGACUGACGCUGAGGCACGAAAGCGUGGGUAGCAAACAGGAUU